RNAcentral lists this unclassified non-coding RNA (339 nucleotides) under soil metagenome. Its description in RNAcentral is "partial contains 5.8S ribosomal RNA, internal transcribed spacer 2, and large subunit ribosomal RNA". The stretch from base 1 to 120 matches the Rfam family "5.8S ribosomal RNA", at positions 35 to 154 of the family's 154-position model. The record is from RNAcentral.
GAUGAAGAACGCAGCGAAAUGCGAUACGUAGUGUGAAUUGCAGAAUUCAGUGAAUCAUCGAAUCUUUGAACGCACAUUGCACCUCUCGGUAUUCCGGGAGGUAUGCCUGUUCGAGCAUCAUUUGUACCCUCAAGCUCUGCUUGGUGUUGGGUGUUUGUUCCGCCUCUGUGUGUGAACUCGCCUCAAAACAAUUGGCAGCCGGCGUACUUGUUUCGGAGCGCAGCACAUUUUGCGAUCCAGAUCAACGUACAGCGGCAUCCAAGAAGCCUUAUUUAACGCUCUUGACCUCGGAUCAGGUAGGGAUACCCGCUGAACUUAAGCAUAUCAAUAAGCGGAGGA